Molecule: ribosomal RNA, 253 nt
Filed under: uncultured bacterium
Lineage: Bacteria
Description: partial 16S ribosomal RNA
Rfam family: Bacterial small subunit ribosomal RNA
Source: RNAcentral
UACGGAGGGUGCAAGCGUUAUCCGGAUUCACUGGGUUUAAAGGGUGCGCAGGUGGCCGAGUGUGUUAGGCGUGAAAGCCCGGGGCUUAACCCCGGAAUUGCACCUAAAACUACUUGGCUAGAGCAUUGGAGAGGGGAGCAGAAUUCAUGGUGUAGCAGUGAAAUGCGUAGAUAUUGGGAGGAACACCAGUGGCGAAGGCGGCUACCUGGACCGGUUCUGACGCUGAUGCGCGAAAGCGUGGGUAGCAAACAGG